ACUCAAAUGAAUUGACGGGGGCCCGCACAAGCGGUGGAGCAUGUGGUUUAAUUCGACGCAACGCGAAGAACCUUACCCAGGCUCGAACGGCAGAUGCAUUACCAUGAAAAUGGGAAUCCCGCAAGGGUAUCUGUCGAGGUGCUGCAUGGCUGUCGUCAGCUCGUGUCGUGAGAUGUUGGGUUAAGUCCCGCAACGAGCGCAACCCUUGUCCGCUGUUGCCAUCAGGUUAUGCUGGGCACUCUGCGGAGACUGCCGGUGAUAAACCGGAGGAAGGUGGGGAUGACGUCAAGUCAGCAUGGCCUUUAUGUCUGGGGCUACACACGUGCUACAAUGGCCGGUACAAACCGUCGCGAGCCCGCAAGGGGGAGCUAAUCGGAGAAAGCCGGUCUCAGUUCGGAUUGCAGGCUGCAACUCGCCUGCAUGAAGUUGGAAUCGCUAGUAAUCGCGGAUCAGCACGCCGCGGUGAAUACGUUCCCGGGCCUUGUACACACCGCCCGU
This 498-nucleotide ribosomal RNA is filed under the name uncultured bacterium. RNAcentral describes it as "partial 16S ribosomal RNA". It matches the Rfam family "Bacterial small subunit ribosomal RNA", at positions 899 to 1397 of the family's 1533-position model. The record is from RNAcentral.